UACAGAGGGGGCAAGCGUUGUUCGGAAUUACUGGGCGUAAAGGGUGCGUAGGCGGUCGCGUAAGUCAGGUGUGAAAUCCCGGGGCUCAACCCCGGAACUGCACUUGAUACUGCGUGGCUAGGGUACUGGAGAGGAGACUGGAAUUUACGGUGUAGCAGUGAAAUGCGUAGAUAUCGUAAGGAAGACCAGUGGCGAAGGCGAGUCUCUGGACAGAAACCGACGCUGAGGCACGAAGGCCAGGGGAGCAAACGGG
This 253-nucleotide ribosomal RNA is filed under the name uncultured bacterium. Its description in RNAcentral is "partial 16S ribosomal RNA". It matches the Rfam family "Bacterial small subunit ribosomal RNA", at positions 524 to 776 of the family's 1533-position model. The record is from RNAcentral.